UGCCUGGAGGACUAGUGGUCAGGCCACAGCCCUCUCACCGCCGCGGCCCGGGUUCGAUUCCUGGAAAGGGAA
This is a non-coding RNA of Pangasius djambal, 72 nucleotides long. The record is from the annotation of a GenBank genome assembly. Lineage: Eukaryota; Metazoa; Chordata; Actinopteri; Siluriformes; Pangasiidae.